This 272-nucleotide unclassified non-coding RNA is filed under the name Hevea brasiliensis (rubber tree). Lineage: Eukaryota; Viridiplantae; Streptophyta; Magnoliopsida; Malpighiales; Euphorbiaceae. The record is from RNAcentral.
AGGAGCGCGUUUCUGAGCGAGGGAGUUUCUCCUUCCCGGAGGAACGAGUUGAGUAGUCAUGUUGAAGGAAACAGUGAAUUUAGGGUUCAAAUUGGUUGAGAAAGGAAUCGGAUGUGGAAUUUAAACAUGAAGAAAGGGUUAAUGGAAUUGAGAAGGUUGAUUUGGGAGGAAGAAAGCGAGCGGAGAGAGAGAUUAGAGGUUUGAAUGAAGGCUACGGUGGUUCUCUAACUCUCUCCCGACCGUCGCAACCGUGAACCGUGGAAACCUUUUCU